RNAcentral lists this unclassified non-coding RNA (368 nucleotides) under uncultured fungus. RNAcentral's name for it is "partial contains 5.8S ribosomal RNA and internal transcribed spacer 2". The stretch from base 1 to 133 matches the Rfam family "5.8S ribosomal RNA", at positions 22 to 154 of the family's 154-position model. Lineage: Eukaryota; Fungi. The record is from RNAcentral.
UGGUUCUCGCAUCGAUGAAGAACGCAGCGAAAUGCGAUAAGUAAUGUGAAUUGCAGAAUUCAGUGAAUCAUCGAAUCUUUGAACGCACCUUGCGCUCCUUGGUAUUCCGAGGAGCAUGCCUGUUUGAGUGUCAUGAAAUCUUCAACUUACGAGCUUCUUGCGAGGUUUGUAGGGUUGGACUUGGAGGCUUGUCGGUCUUUAAAGGUCGGCUCCUCUUAAAUGCAUUAGCUUGGUUCCUUGCGGAUCGGGUUGUCGGUGUGAUAAUGUCUACGCCGCGACCGUGAAGCGUUUGGCAAGCUUCUAACCGUCUCGGUAUAGAGACAAGUUUUAUGACCUCUGACCUCAAAUCAGGUAGGACUACCCGCUGA